GGUUCUGCAACUCUCCACUUUCUGGCAGCCAGAUACAUGACCCAUCCCGAGCCUUUGGGCAGAGAGAGGCAGAGAUGAUGGCAACCAGCCAAGGAAAUGCUUUCUUCUCAGCAAAUUGAACACUUCAUGUCUGGGAACCUGCCAGCAAUUAUCAAAGACACAAAAAGGAAACCAGGAAACAUCUCUUGAGACUAAAUCAUCUGCUGCAGACUCUGGCCGGCGACACAGAGGUGGAAGAUUAUGCUCCUCUUCUUCUGCAUCCAUGCUGUCACUAAAUCAACCCAGCUUAAACUGCU
Molecule: long non-coding RNA, 296 nt
Organism: Notolabrus celidotus (New Zealand spotty)
Lineage: Eukaryota; Metazoa; Chordata; Actinopteri; Labriformes; Labridae
Exons: 3
Source: RefSeq, a predicted model, not a curated record